GCACAAGCGGUGGAGCAUGUGGUUUAAUUCGAAGCAACGCGAAGAACCUUACCAGGUCUUGACAUCCUCUGACAAUCCUAGAGAUAGGACUUUCCCCUUCGGGGGACAGAGUGACAGGUGGUGCAUGGUUGUCGUCAGCUCGUGUCGUGAGAUGUUGGGUUAAGUCCCGCAACGAGCGCAACCCUUAUUCUUAGUUGCCAGCAUUAAGUUGGGCACUCUAAGGAGACUGCCGGUGACAAACCGGAGGAAGGUGGGGAUGACGUCAAAUCAUCAUGCCCCUUAUGACCUGGGCUACACACGUGCUACAAUGGAUGGUACAAAGGGCUGCGAAACCGCGAGGUCAAGCCAAUCCCAUAAAACCAUUCUCAGUUCGGAUUGUAGGCUGCAACUCGCCUACAUGAAGCCGGAAUCGCUAGUAAUCGUGGAUCAGCAUGCCACGGUGAAUACGUUCCCGGGC
Molecule: ribosomal RNA, 457 nt
Filed under: uncultured bacterium
Lineage: Bacteria
Description: bacterial SSU rRNA
Rfam family: Bacterial small subunit ribosomal RNA
Source: RNAcentral